Molecule: non-coding RNA, 25 nt
Filed under: Mus musculus (house mouse)
Lineage: Eukaryota; Metazoa; Chordata; Mammalia; Rodentia; Muridae
Source: RNAcentral
UGAGAGUCUCAGCUGACCAGUGGGC